RNAcentral lists this ribosomal RNA (603 nucleotides) under Ogataea methanolica. Its description in RNAcentral is "LSU rRNA". It matches the Rfam family "Eukaryotic large subunit ribosomal RNA", at positions 33 to 654 of the family's 3401-position model. The record is from RNAcentral. Lineage: Eukaryota; Fungi; Ascomycota; Pichiomycetes; Pichiales; Pichiaceae.
AUUAAGCAUAUCAAUAAGCGGAGGAAAAGAACCCCACAGGGAUUGCCUUAGUAGCGGCGAGUGAAGCGGCAAGAGCUCAAAUUUGAAAUCUGGUGCCUUUGGUGCCCGAGUUGUAAUUUGAAGAAAGCUAUCUUGGAUUUGGCCUUUGUCUAUGUUCCUUGGAACAGGACGUCACAGAGGGUGAGAAUCCCGUGCGAUGAGGUGUCCAUUUCUAUGUAAGAUGUUUUCGAAGAGUCGAGUUGUUUGGGAAUGCAGCUCUAAGUGGGUGGUAAAUUCCAUCUAAAGCUAAAUAUUGGCGAGAGACCGAUAGCGAACAAGUACAGUGAUGGAAAGAUGAAAAGAACUUUGAAAAGAGAGUGAAAAAGUACGUGAAAUUGUUGAAAGGGAAGGGUAUUAGAUCAGACUUGGUAUUUAGUUAUCAUUGCUCCUUGUGGGUGGUGUUCUAGCUUUCUACUGGGCCAGCAUCAGUUUUGGUGGCAAGAUAAUGACAAUUUGAACGUGGCUCUUCGGAGUGUUAUAGCUUUUGUUGAUGUUGCCUACUGGGACUGUAGGUCUGCGGCUUUUGCCUAGGAUGCUGGCGUAAUGAUCCAAUACCGCCCGUUG